Molecule: long non-coding RNA, 1059 nt
Filed under: Marmota monax (woodchuck)
Lineage: Eukaryota; Metazoa; Chordata; Mammalia; Rodentia; Sciuridae
Source: RNAcentral
CAUGAACUGAAAUCUACAAAAGUAAGCCAGAGUAAGCCUUCCUCUUUCUUAGUUAUGAGUAUUUCAGGUAUUUGUUAAAGCAGUGGAAAGCUGAUUAACACAUCCUUAUCUUCCAGAGCUGAGUCCUUCUACCCAUCAGGAAAUGAGCGUUGUGGAUAGUCACAUGGAAAACUGCUGUGAGUUCUCCCAUCAGGAAUGAUUCCCAGAUUGAAUCCUGUCCAAUGAUGGGAUGAGUCCCAAGAGUCAUGGGGCUGGUGUCCUGAUCUUCAGUGAAAGCAGUACCUCAUGGCAGAGUAGGGUGUGCAGCAGCAGGUUUUCAGUCUGGACCUUGAGAAGCAACAUCUCCUCAGGGAUUCCAUGUGUUGAGAGUGAACUCAGAGCAACAGAAGUUGACCAAAACACCCUCGGCCUUCAAGAUGACCUUUUUUUCUCUGACCAAAAGGCAAUCUAUGUGCAGAGGUGGACCUGAAAGAAUCCUCUUUAUUCAAAAUGGUCAACAUCUCAGAGGGAGAACUGGCUCAACGAGGUGGUUCACUGAAGCACAUUAUUCCUCUGUAAGUUCAUCUGGAAGCUUUGACUUUCUUCUGGAUUCUUCCUUUGUGCAGGCAUAAAGUUAAUUUGUACUUUCUGCUUAAAAGUUGACUGUUCCAAUGCUCCAAAACAUUCUGAAAAUGAUUCAUCACAUUCAUGUUCUGUAUGAGUUUUGCUCUUGAAAUCACUUCUUUCCACACAUUCUGAGAGGAAAAAUGGUGUAUGGAGGGAUAAUGUUACGACAUCCCUAUUUGUCACCACCAGCGGGUCAUCAGAUGGAUAAAUCCAUAGAAUUCCUGCACAAGAAGUUGCAAGAACUUCAAAUAAGAGAGUUUGCUUCAGAUUGUCCACCUGUCUCUUCUGUGGAAAACUGUUUUUAGGGUCAUGAUAAUGCUUUGUAAAGACAGAAUAUUCCUCCUGCUUCUGCAAUACACAUCUCCUUCUCUUCUAUUUUCUGGGAGUAGUGUUGACAGUUUUCAUGAAUGGACAAUCCUUGGCCAGCUACUAUUCACCCAGCACAUCAGGGCC